Long non-coding RNA from Leptopilina boulardi, 658 nucleotides. RefSeq lists it as uncharacterized. Lineage: Eukaryota; Metazoa; Arthropoda; Insecta; Hymenoptera; Figitidae. The transcript is spliced from 2 exons. The record is from RefSeq and is a predicted model, not a curated record.
UAUGAUUGUUCAAUUACAGUAUAUAAAAAAUAAAGUAUAUAUAAUACGAUAUUUCAAUAUUAAAUUACAAACGUUUCAUUUCAAGUGUACGUAGAAAUUUAAAAAAAAAAUGUUUAAAUUGAGUAUUGGUCUGUUUCUUGUAAUAUUUGCAACAUUUCCAAAUUUUAAUCGAGCUAAUGAUUGUUGCCGGUCUAGUCGGAUAGAGUUUAAAAAGCCAGUUGGCACUAAAUGUUCAACGUAUGGAGCAUGGGAUAUUGAUUUUGUUUAUCGGUUAUUUUCUGGAUUCACAACUUUGACUGUAGAUUGUUACGCAGCCGUAUGUGGCGAUGGAAACCCACCAGAAAAUCAAUUUUGUAGCAAAGGACAAUGUAAUUUUCUUGGAUGCGAUUGCACUCUUGGAUGCAUUGAAGGAGAUGCUGUGACAAACUUUAUACUAAAACAUUAAAUUUUGUAUAAAUAAAUUAUCAUCAAGUUACUAUGGCUCCGUGAUUAAAUUUGGACAUAAAGAAGAGAAUUGUUUUUUUGAUAAAAACUUUAACUCAACGAAACGUAUAACUAUAAUAUAUUUGUCAGAUACAUUCGGUCGACACAAUGUAAAGAAAACUUCAAAAAAUUUAUUUGAAAUGAAAUAAAUUUAUUCAUUUAUUAUUGUGAUAAA